CUGAUACAGCGCUACAACUAACGUUUAGCAGUAGCGCGCUUCGGGCCGCGCUACUGCUAUAGCUACUUACCAGUAGCGCUAUCCAUACCAGCGCUACUGCUAAGUGGCUUAUCAGUAGCAUAUUCCUGUUUAGCGCUAAAGAGCGCUACUACUAUAUUUUCAUAUAUCCUUUUUUGCUACGUAUUUGUGAUGUUUUUGUACAUAUUUUAAACAGUAUUAUAUGAUGAGCAUAUUGCCAGUUUAUGAUAUGAUUAUCAUACACAUAAUAGUCUCAUCAUAUCAUCCAGCACAAAUCAUGUCGUCACAUCAUAAUCAUGAUAUAGCUAUACAAGUUACAUUGGCUAUGCAUCAACGGAGGCACAACAUCAUUUGGUAGUUUCUAUUGAAGAACGUAAUAGUAGCCUAGUUAGCAAUGUAAGGUGAGGCCUGCCGUCUCGUCAAGCUUGAUGGUGAAGAACCUGACCACUCGCACGUGAGGUAUAUCGCACAAACCGUAAUCUUCGCCGCAGAGUUCACACUCACGGAUCCUAUCGUCGUCACACAGUUCCUGUGUUCAGAAAUUCGGCAUGACCAUUAUUAAAAUAAAACAUAUUGAGCGCCCGAAAUUUGCCAGAAUGGAAAUGAAUCAACAUUCCGGAAAAACAUAUUCACUAGGAGGUGUUCCAUGCAAUAACAUACACAUGUCCAAAUAGACCUAAUUAAAUAUCGGUUGACUUUCGGUUAGUCGAGGCUUUCCUUAAAUAACUCUCAUAUCUCAUGGUGUGUUGGUGUGCACUUUCUCACACUGAUAUGA
Molecule: long non-coding RNA, 793 nt
Filed under: Hordeum vulgare
Lineage: Eukaryota; Viridiplantae; Streptophyta; Magnoliopsida; Poales; Poaceae
Description: long non-coding RNA (HVUL_LNC012737)
Source: RNAcentral